UACGUAGGGCGCAAGCGUUGUCCGGAAUUAUUGGGCGUAAAGAGCUCGUAGGCGGCUCGUCGCGUCGUCCGUGAAAACCCGCGGCUUAACCGCGGGCUUGCGGUUGAUACGGGCGGGCUAGAGUUCGGUAGGGGAGACUGGAAUUCCUGGUGUAGCGGUGAAAUGCGCAGAUAUCAGGAGGAACACCGGUGGCGAAGGCGGGUCUCUGGGCCGAUACUGACGCUGAGGAGCGAAAGCGUGGGGAGCGAACAGG
RNAcentral lists this ribosomal RNA (253 nucleotides) under uncultured bacterium. Its description in RNAcentral is "partial 16S ribosomal RNA". It matches the Rfam family "Bacterial small subunit ribosomal RNA", at positions 524 to 776 of the family's 1533-position model. The record is from RNAcentral.